This 2733-nucleotide ribosomal RNA is filed under the name Triticum aestivum (bread wheat). Its description in RNAcentral is "partial small subunit ribosomal RNA". Lineage: Eukaryota; Viridiplantae; Streptophyta; Magnoliopsida; Poales; Poaceae. The record is from RNAcentral.
AUGGCAUAUGUGGUUGGAAUAGUCAACACUCUGAUUACUCCAAUUUACCAUAUCGUCUUCAAGCAUGUAAUGUACCCCUUCACGGCUAGCAGAAACGUGAAGCAUCUCAAAGAAGCAGCCCAGGGUUUGAUCGCCAAGGGCAACGAUGUCCGGUAUGAGAUUGAGAUUGCCGAGAGGAAUGGCAUGACAGCAAAGAAUGAAGUGCGGAAGUGGCUUGAAAAUGUGGACACCAUCAAGUCCGAUGAAGAAGCAAUUAGGCAGGUGUAUGAUGAGAGAUGCCAAGUUUUUGGGUGCAUCUCUCUGAAUUGCUGGUCAAACUACAAAAUCAGCAAGAGUGCAAAAAAGGAGCUUCUGAAAGCCCAAGAGUAUGCCAAGAUUGACACUAGUGUUGUCGCAGUGCAGCCGCUGCCACCAUCGGUCCGAGAAAUGCCUGUCUCAUCCAGUGGACUGCUCAGUGAAGAGCAUAAUAUGCAGGAGGCUGCCAGGUGCAUUAGGAAUUCUCCGGUUGGAAUGAUUGGGAUAUGGGGUCUAGGUGGAGUGGGAAAGACUCAUCUUCUGAAGAAGAUCAACAACUCAUUUCUCGGAGACCCUUUCUUCGAUGUUGUUAUUUUUGUUACAGCCUCAAAAGAUUGUUCAGUGGAGAAAAUCCAAGCUGAAAUAGUAAAGAAACUCAGCUUAAGGAAAGACGACGAUAUAGAGUCUCAAGCCAAUAUCAUUUCUGACUUCCUGAGCAGGAGGAGUUUUCUUGUACUGCUGGAUGACCUCUGGGAACCAUUGGACUUGCAAGCAGCUGGCAUCACACAUCCUCUUGGAUUUGUCGGCCAAUUCAAGAGGAAAGUAGUACUCACAACAAGGUCACGAGUUGUGUGUGGUACAAUGAAGGUCAGAAAAGAGAUAAAAGUGGAUUGCUUGAGGCAAGAUGAGGCAUUGCAGCUCUUCCAAGAGAACGUUGGCCAAGAGAUUCUUUUAUCCAAUCCGCACAUUGGAGCCCUUUCAAGAGAGCUUGUGACGGAGCUGAAGGGCCUGCCCUUGGCGUUGAUAGCUACCGGAAAGGCAAUGUAUCCAAAGAAAGAUCCAGGUGAAUGGGAAACAGCUAUUCGUCUACUGCGACGAUCUGGCCACGAUGCGGAUGAUCCAACGUCUGUGGAGAACACAAUUUACUUCAAGUUAAAACUUAGCUAUGAUAGCUUAGGGAAUGAUACCAUGAGACGUUGUUUCCUGGUUUGCUCACUGUGGCCAGAAGAUUCUCCUAUUGCUAAAGAUGAUCUGAUCCAGUGUUGGAUGGGCUUAGGUCUGCUUAAUAAGUGCGACGUACAGAGUUCUUACAGUGAAGGCUACAACAUAAUAGGCCACCUGCAAGCUGCAUCUUUGCUGGAAGGUAGUGAGGACAGUAGUAAGCACCUCAAAAUGCAUGAUGUGAUCCGUGAUAUGGCGAUAUGGAUAUCUUGCGGCUGCGGUGAAAACAAUAACAAAUGGGUCGUUCACGCAGCGAUCGGCAAAACUGCGUCUAGAAAGUGCAUCCCUUGGAACAGGGUGGAGUAUCUGUCAAUGAUGGGCAACGGACUGGAAGAACUUCCGUAUCUUGGUGGUGGCGUGAAUGAAAAUAGCAUGGGCUGCAGUGUCAGAUCCAAGUGUUUUCUUGGUUCUGGUUCCACAGAACUCAGGACACUGCUUCUUCAAGAUAAUAAGUUCAACGAGAAGGCACUUGGAAAUAUUUACCUCUUCACUUCAUUGACAUACCUAGAUUUGAGUCAGAACCACAUUCGUGUUCUGCCUUUAGCAGUCUGUGCUCUGGGAGAUCUAGAGUACCUCAACCUGUCUUACAAUUACAUCACUGAGUUGCCCAAGGACCUUCGACACCUCACCAAGCUCAAAUUCCUAUACCUAAGAGGCAACCCGAUACACACCGUACCAAAGGGCACCAUAUCAAGGCUGCAGGAACUGCAAGUGCUUGACCUGCUGUCGUCCCAGGUCUCGACACACGCAAACUAUACUCUAUCAUUGUUCCCAGAAUUGGACUUGCUGGAUAACUUGAAAGCUGUGGAGGUCGGGGUCAAAGGUGACGCGGCAUAUGAACUGCUAGGCAAGUUUCCGGGCCUCCCUGUUAGAUCCAUCCAUCUGAGCAGGCUGACAGGGACACCAACAUUCUGCUUCCUAGAUGGCUGCUUCUCGAGCUCCUCGGUGCAAGCGAGCCUAUACGACCUGACGAUCUACAAGUGCUGCAUGCAGCAGAUACUGGUGAGAAGCGGCGCGGAAGGAGCAGUCUCCCAGUUGGACGUGCUCAGAUCGCUCACGCUCGACAGCCUGCGCAGCCUGAAGGGGGUCAUCUGGAAGAGAGUGGCUCCGGAGUCUCUUUUUCCGAGGCUGACCUACCUGGCAGUCGUGCACUGCCAGAGUCUCAGGCACAUUUCAUGGGCCAUGCACCUGCCUUGCCUCGAGAGGAUCCUUGUGAACAACUGCGGCGGCAUGAAACAGAUCGUCCGGACCAAGAAGAAGGACGGCGGCGCUGGGGAAGAAGACAGGGGGCAAGCACCGGUCCAUGGCUUCCCUUGCCUCAGAUACCUUGAGCUGCAGAGCCUUCCCGGGCUGUCGAGCCUCUGCGACCCCAGCGUCCCCCUUGUCCAGAUGAGGUGGUGGGAGUCGCUGGAGUGGGUCGACGAGGGCGUCAAGCGUGCCGUGCAGCCUCUUGUUAAUUCGGACAUCACAGAUCAGCUGGAGCAGAGUCCUAUUUAG